RNAcentral lists this signal recognition particle RNA (86 nucleotides) under Bacilli bacterium. Its description in RNAcentral is "signal recognition particle sRNA small type". It matches the Rfam family "Bacterial small signal recognition particle RNA". From Rfam's summary of the family: The signal recognition particle (SRP) is a universally conserved ribonucleoprotein involved in the co-translational targeting of proteins to membranes. Archaeal SRP consists of a 7S RNA and homologues of the eukaryotic SRP19 and SRP54 proteins. In most bacteria, the SRP consists of a 4.5S RNA and the Ffh protein (a homologue of the eukaryotic SRP54 protein). Lineage: Bacteria; Bacillati; Bacillota; Bacilli. The record is from RNAcentral.
AUUUAUGCACAACGAAAAACUUGGAACCAGGUCAGGAUAGAAAUAUAGCAGCCUUAACAUUUAAUUUUCGUGUGUGCUUUUUUUAU